CGGCCCAUGUGAACUGGGCCCACUAAACUUCUCACCUGGGGUUGAGGAUAUGCUUGUGUUCUUUCAGAUUUCAGACUUCUUCGGAUUCCCUUUUGGUUGGUGAAGCCUUACCAUGGCAUCAUGGAGACUCCCAGGAUAUCUUCCAGUGAACCAACACUCCCAGAGACUGACUAUGAGUGAGCGGCCACCAGCCCCCUUUUCCAGAUGGAAGAAGCCUCUUCAUUGACUCCUCAUCCUGAAGCCACUCUGCAAAUGCAAGUCCUUGCCCCUGAUAUAACAUAGGGAAGCCUUAAAACUCCUGUCUAACCAGGCCAGCAUCCUCUUAAAACUCAAUGAUAUUGCAUAGACCCCCGACUCGCACCUGAAGGCCUUGAUCUCCAUCAUGGACAAAAAUUAGAAUCACCCGUCAGACCAUCCAAGAGCAAAAGAAGGACCUGGAGCUCGUCAUGACAGUCCUUGAACACAAAACUAGAAGAACCAAAAAAAAAAAAAAAAACCCCACAAAAAAACAAAAAAGGGGGAACUGUGGGGAAUAAGCUUAGGAAUUCCCCGAGCCUGCGCUGAUGGGUUAACAAGGCAUAAAGAAUCAUGAAGCCAUAGGAUGCUCACACCCAAGUUUGGGUAAACAAGAUUAGGCAUACAAGGAUAGAGAAGGGGGGCAAAGGCCCCCAAUACAAAGAUAUAUGAGGUGAGCAAGAUUAGGUAUUCAGGGCAAAAGCACCCCCACCCCCAAUUUAGUAUUAUAGCAUAAAUCUGCUUUCACAGGAAGGAAGGACCAAACUAGGUAAACAGGGCUAUAGACCGCUGUGCUGCGGGUGAUACUGCCACAGUGGAGCUUAUUAGCAAAAGAAAGGUGUCUAGUUAAACCUUAGGUUAUGUGCUCUGUCUUAUCCCCUCGGCUAAGGUAAACAGAGGUGGUACCUCAUGUCUCCUUUAAACAACCUUUUGCGCAGCCACCUGGCACCAGGAUUUUGCUUUGUAUUAACCCAAACCCCUAACCCUGGAUAUCUUCAAGACCCCCUUUCCCUCACGUCCACGAGUUGCAUGUCCAUCAGCAUGUGUGUAAGCCUUCUGAUUAUAAUAAAAAUGGGGCAAGAACUCUUA
Molecule: long non-coding RNA, 1104 nt
Organism: Neofelis nebulosa (Clouded leopard)
Lineage: Eukaryota; Metazoa; Chordata; Mammalia; Carnivora; Felidae
Exons: 2
Source: RefSeq, a predicted model, not a curated record